GUGAGGAAUUUUCCGCAAUGGGCGAAAGCCUGACGCAGCCAUGCCGCGUGAAUGAUGAAGGUCUUAGGAUUGUAAAAUUCUUUCACCGGGGACGAUAAUGACGGUACCCGGAGAAGAAGCCCCGGCUAACUUCGUGCCAGCAGCCGCGGUAAUACGAAGGGGGCUAGCGUUGCUCGGAAUUACUGGGCGUAAAGGGCGCGUAGGCGGACAGUUUAGUCAGAGGUGAAAGCCCAGGGCUCAACCUUGGAAUUGCCUUUGAUACUGGCUGUCUUGAGUACGGGAGAGGUGAGUGGAACUCCGAGUGUAGAGGUGAAAUUCGUAGAUAUUCGGAAGAACACCAGUGGCGAAGGCGACUCACUGGCCCGUUACUGACGCUGAGGCGCGAAAGCGUGGGGAGCAAACAGGAUUAGAUACCCCGGUAGUCC
RNAcentral lists this ribosomal RNA (425 nucleotides) under uncultured bacterium. Its description in RNAcentral is "partial 16S ribosomal RNA". It matches the Rfam family "Bacterial small subunit ribosomal RNA", at positions 354 to 796 of the family's 1533-position model. The record is from RNAcentral.